CCGGGAGCUGGGCUGAGUGGUCACUCCAGAGCUCUGGAGUCUGUGGCGGGGAGCCCUGGAAACUGACAGCGGAGGGAAAGGUACCAGCCCCUGCGAAAUCCCCUCGAGCCCCCUGCCGCCGGGCCCCCGGGGGGCACAGCUGGGCCCUGGGCAGGCCUGAGACCCGCGCAACCCGCCCGUUCCUCCCAAGCAGCCCGGCUGGUUCGGUGCCACCCUGGGGGGCUGUUCGCCAGCGCGGCGUCGAGGGUCAAGGCGGGGAACCAGAGGGAACCGCGUCUCCUUUGGGGCCUGCGGAGAGCAGGGUCCGUCCGUCCCGUCUCCAGGGACUUUCGCUCAGGUCACUUCACCCGCUUCUUUCUCUGCCCCCGGGACCCGCCCAGCCCAGACUGGGACCCGCGGGUGCCGCCGUCCCGACGCUGUCCCCCGAUUUCACAGGGAGAGUCCCGAUUUGUGGGGCUUUGUCUUGUGCAGGCUCCGAUUACCCCCCACCCCGGUCCCGAUUUGUCACAUUUGCUGUCUGGUCUCUGCCCGACGCCCCCGACCCGCUGGGUCUCUUUAAGCCGACGCCUUUCUCCUCCCUUCGCCAGGUCGGGCCGGGGCGGCGAGUGCCCCGCGGGGACGGGGACGGGGUUUCUCCCAAGGUCUGUGGAGCCAGAAGGGGAGGAUUCACACGGAUGCCCCCAUUUGGGGGGGCCCGUCUCCCAAGGUGCAGCUCUCCCCACGGCCCCCCGGUCCCUGUGCACUGGCUGGACCCCGUUUGCGGGGGAGGGGGCUGGGGGCUCCCGAGGCUGAAUGGCUCCGUUGUGCGAGCGAGGCGCAGGCAGCAGGGGAAGGUUGGACAAUCGUUGCUUUCAUGCCAGGCCCAGACGGAAGUAGGAAAAGUUCCUCGGGGGGCCGGGCGGGGCCUGUGGCUGGGGGCGGAGCUCAGAGCAUGGGGCUGGGG
Molecule: long non-coding RNA, 943 nt
Filed under: Gopherus agassizii (Agassiz's desert tortoise)
Lineage: Eukaryota; Metazoa; Chordata; Testudines; Testudinidae
Description: lncRNA (ENSGAGG00000008861.1)
Source: RNAcentral